Sitodiplosis mosellana (orange wheat blossom midge) is the source of this 351-nucleotide long non-coding RNA. RefSeq lists it as uncharacterized. The record is from RefSeq and is a predicted model, not a curated record. The transcript is spliced from 7 exons. NCBI's taxonomy places the organism in Eukaryota, Metazoa, Arthropoda, Insecta, Diptera, Cecidomyiidae.
GUAUGGAAUACAAGAUUUUGUGAAGAAAGUCAAUGCGUUGAAAUUUCAAAUUUCUCAGACUAGCAUCUCAAAAAUGCGAAAAACUGCAUGGAAAAAGAAAUAGAUGAAAGAUCAAAGAUGACCAAGGUUUCACUGACCAAAAACUAAUUUUAUCUCUCUUUCUGUGACUUCGAUGACACAUUUUAUUGGGUGCACUCUCAAGUAAAAAGAUGGAACCAACUGAAAAUGACGUGGCACAAUGAGCGCUCAAUGGUCUAUUGAUGCCCUUCAUCCAGAAUCAGAAUAAUGAUGAUUCAAGAAGCACCACUCUACGUGAUUCAUAUUCGGCCAAAUGUUUUGAACACAACAAGG